AAGACUAUAGACCUGCGGAGUACCUGCGGAAGGAUCAUUAACGAGGUUAAACUCUCCUUGUGAGAGCCUCUCACACUUGCUUUUGCAAUUAGUUGCUUCGACGGAGCGCAAAUCGAUUGCCGCUGGCCUUCUUGGUUGGCGAGUCUCCGUCGAAGUUUUUACUCUUCAACUUUUAUGAGUCUGUUUCGAUUUCAAAUUGAAAAAAAAACUUUUAACAAUGGAUCUCUAGAUCGGAAGAGC
This 240-nucleotide unclassified non-coding RNA is filed under the name soil metagenome. RNAcentral's name for it is "partial contains 5.8S ribosomal RNA, internal transcribed spacer 2, and large subunit ribosomal RNA". The record is from RNAcentral.